GUUCCCAGUACUCCCCAGCUGUCCCUUGCCUGUGUCUCUGUUGUCCUCACCACAUCCUGACUCUUCCCAGUGUCCCCACCGCAUCCCUGGCUGUCCCUGCGUGUCCCUGGCGAGUCCCAGCUGUCCUCGAUGUGUCCCUGCACCCCGAGGCUGUUUCUCUAGCACAUCCCACUUGUCCCCGGUGUAUCCCGGCUGUCCCCAGGGUGUCCUUGCUGUCCCCGGUGCGUCCUGCCUGUCCCUGGACUGUCCCCAGCGUGUCCUGGCUGCCCCCAUAACAGCUCAGCAGGGUUGGGGACACUCGUGGCUGUCAUCCCCUGUCCCUGUGCUGGGCACGGGGACCCUGGUGUGGGGCAGGCCGGGGCCAGCCCAUCACAGCCACGCUGGCACGUCCUGGGCUGCGGUUUGGGCACGUGCCGUGUCCCCCACGCCGUGUCCCCACCGUGUCCGGGCCAGCGGGGACCCGGCGGCCGGGGGGUCCUGGGGAGGGGACGCGGGCUCUGGGUGGCCCUGGCUGUGUCCCCCUCCCCACAGGGACCCUCGCGCUGCCCCCGCGGGGCCCCAGGCUGGGGGAGGGGAGGCCGCGCUGUCCAUCUGUCGGGGCCCCCCCCGGCUGUGCCCGCCGGGGGCUUGGGGGGGCCGCGGGCUGCUCUUCCCCUCCAGACAGAGCCUCACUUCCCCCUGUGACGCAGCCGGAGCCGCCGGCCCCGGGGCCGCUUCCUGCGCGGGGGGCAGGCGAGGGGCCCACGGGCACCUCAGGGACAAUGGGGACCACAGGGACCCGCGUGGGUUCGCCCCACGGGCUGCAGGGGACGGGGACGGCACGUGCGAGGUCUGCCCGUGCCCCCCCAGACCUUCCCCUGGUCCCUCCAUCACCCCCAGACCCUCUUCUUGUCCCCCGCAUCACCCCCAGACCCUCCUCUUGUCCCCAGCGGGCUCCUUCGUCCUGCCGAGCGCCCCCAUCCCUGCCGCGGUGCCGUGGGGUCCGGGUGAACCGGGGACGCGUGGCCCCGUGUGAACCCCCAAACCCCAAACUUCACCCUCGAGGGGCGGGGGGUGGAGGCCACGGCCGGGGGUCACGGCUCGGUUCCGCGUCUGCAGCCCCGGGGGGCUCCCCGAGGGGUCCCCGAGCUCCGGGGAGUCCCUCCAGAGGGUGCGGGAUGCCCUGGGGGGAUCCCUCUGUGCUCUGCCCUGUGGCUCCGGCGGUGCCCGGUGCCUCGGGGGGAUUCCCG
This 1229-nucleotide long non-coding RNA is filed under the name Parus major (Great Tit). RNAcentral's name for it is "lncRNA (ENSPMJG00000005373.1)". The record is from RNAcentral. Lineage: Eukaryota; Metazoa; Chordata; Aves; Passeriformes; Paridae.